ACUCCUACGGGAGGCAGCAGUGGGGAAUUUUGGACAAUGGGCGAAAGCCUGAUCCAGCCAUGCCGCGUGCAGGAUGAAGGCCUUCGGGUUGUAAACUGCUUUUGUACGGAACGAAACGGCCUUUUCUAAUAAAGAGGGCUAAUGACGGUACCGUAAGAAUAAGCACCGGCUAACUACGUGCCAGCAGCCGCGGUAAUACGUAGGGUGCAAGCGUUAAUCGGAAUUACUGGGCGUAAAGCGUGCGCAGGCGGUUAUGUAAGACAGUUGUGAAAUCCCCGGGCUCAACCUGGGAACUGCAUCUGUGACUGCAUAGCUAGAGUACGGUAGAGGGGGAUGGAAUUCCGCGUGUAGCAGUGAAAUGCGUAGAUAUGCGGAGGAACACCGAUGGCGAAGGCAAUCCCCUGGACCUGUACUGACGCUCAUGCACGAAAGCGUGGGGAGCAAACAGGAUUAGAAACCCCUGUAGUCCCAUGAU
Molecule: ribosomal RNA, 475 nt
Filed under: uncultured organism
Description: partial 16S ribosomal RNA
Rfam family: Bacterial small subunit ribosomal RNA
Source: RNAcentral